UAAGUGCUGAAAGCAUCUAAGCACGAAACUUGCCCCGAGAUGAGUUCUCCCUGACCCUUUAAGGGUCCUGAAGGAACGUUGAAGACGACGACGUUGAUAGGCCGGGUGUGUAAGCGCAGCGAUGCGUUGAGCUAACCGGUACUAAUGAACCGUGAGGCUUAACCUUACAACGCCGAAGCUGUU
This 183-nucleotide ribosomal RNA is filed under the name Escherichia coli. Its description in RNAcentral is "partial 23S ribosomal RNA". It matches the Rfam family "Bacterial large subunit ribosomal RNA", at positions 2765 to 2925 of the family's 2925-position model. Lineage: Bacteria; Pseudomonadati; Pseudomonadota; Gammaproteobacteria; Enterobacterales; Enterobacteriaceae. The record is from RNAcentral.